RNAcentral lists this ribosomal RNA (468 nucleotides) under uncultured bacterium. Its description in RNAcentral is "partial 16S ribosomal RNA". It matches the Rfam family "Bacterial small subunit ribosomal RNA", at positions 28 to 507 of the family's 1533-position model. The record is from RNAcentral.
GACGAACGCUGGCGGCGUGCUUAACACAUGCCAGUCGAACGGAAAGGCCCUGCUUUUGUGGGGUGCUCGAGUGGCGAACGGGUGAGUAACACGUGAGUAACCUGCCCUUGACUUUGGGAUAACUUCAGGAAACUGGGGCUAAUACCGGAUAGGAGCUCCUGCUGCAUGGUGGGGGUUGGAAAGUUUCGGCGGUUGGGGAUGGACUCGCGGCUUAUCAGCUUGUUGGUGGGGUAGUGGCGUACCAAGGCUUUGACGGGUAGCCGGCCUGAGAGGGUGACCGGCCACAUUGGGACUGAGGUACGGCCCAGACUCCUACGGGAGGCAGCGGUGGGGAGUAUUGCACAGUGGGCGGGAGCCUGAUGCAGCAACGCCGCGUGCGGGAUGACGGCCUUCGGGCUGUAAACCGCUUUCGCCUGUGACGAAGCGUGAGUGACGGUAAUGGGUAAAGAAGCACCGGCUAACUACGUG